This 497-nucleotide ribosomal RNA is filed under the name uncultured bacterium. RNAcentral describes it as "partial 16S ribosomal RNA". It matches the Rfam family "Bacterial small subunit ribosomal RNA", at positions 28 to 507 of the family's 1533-position model. The record is from RNAcentral.
GAUGAACGCUGGCGGCGUGCCUAAUACAUGCAAGUCGAGCGAACGGACGAGAAGCUUGCUUCUCUGAUGUUAGCGGCGGACGGGUGAGUAACACGUGGAUAACCUACCUAUAAGACUGGGAUAACUUCGGGAAACCGGAGCUAAUACCGGAUAAUAUUUUGAACCGCAUGGUUCAAAAGUGAAAGACGGUCUUGCUGUCACUUAUAGAUGGAUCCGCGCUGCAUUAGCUAGUUGGUAAGGUAACGGCUUACCAAGGCAACGAUGCAUAGCCGACCUAAGAGGGUGAUCGGCCACACUGGAACUGAGACACGGUCCAGACUCCUACGGGAGGCAGCAGUAGGGAAUCCUCCGCAAUGGGCGAAAGCCUGACGGAGCAACGCCGCGUGAGUGAUGAAGGUCUUCGGAUCGUAAAACUCUGUUAUUAGGGAAGAACAUAUGUGUAAGUAACUGUGCACAUCUUGACGGUACCUAAUCAGAAAGCCACGGCUAACUACGUG